Molecule: ribosomal RNA, 686 nt
Filed under: uncultured Actinomycetes bacterium
Lineage: Bacteria; Bacillati; Actinomycetota; Actinomycetes
Description: bacterial SSU rRNA
Rfam family: Bacterial small subunit ribosomal RNA
Source: RNAcentral
GCGGUGCGCCUUAUGCAUGCAAGUCGAGCGAAGCUUUUCUGUAGUUUACUACAGAAAAUGACUGAGCGGCGAACGGGUGAGUAACGCGUGAGCAAUCUACCUUAGUUACAGGGAUAGCCCGAGGAAACUCGGAUUAAUACCUGAUAUUCUUUUUUUCUCGCAUGAGUUUUAAAGGAAAGGUCAGCCGAACUAAGAUGAGCUCGCGUUCUAUCAGCUAGUUGGUGAGGUAAUAGCUCACCAAGGCAACGACGGAUAGCUGGUCUGAGAGGACGAUCAGCCACACUGGGACUGAGACACGGCCCAGACUCCUACGGGAGGCUGCAGCAGGGAAUAUUGUGCAAUGAGCGAAAGCUUGACACAGCGACACCGCGUGUGGGAUGACGGAUCUAGGUUUGUAAACCACUUUCAGGAGGGAAGAAAAUGACGGUACCUCCAUAAGAAGCCCCGGCCAACUACGUGCCAGCAGCCGCGGUAAUACGUAGGGGGCGAGCGUUGUCCGGAUUUAUUGGGCGUAAAGAGCUCGUAGGCGGUUCAACAAGUCGGUCGUGAAAGUUCAGGGCUCAACCCUGAAAUGUCGAUCGAUACUGUUGUGACUAGGAUACGGUAGAGGUGAGUGGAAUUCCGAGUGUAGCGGUGAAAUGCGUAGAUAUUCGGAGGAACACCAAUUGCGAAGGCAGCUCACUGGG